UACGAGGGGGGCAAGCGUUGUUCGGAAUUAUUGGGCGUAAAGGGUGCGUAGGCGGUUUCGUAAGUCUUAUGUGAAAUCUAUGGGCUCAACCCAUAGUCUGCAUAGGAAACUGCGAGGCUUGAGUAUGGGAGAGGUGAGUGGAAUUUCCGGUGUAGCGGUGAAAUGCGUAGAUAUCGGAAGGAACACCUGUGGCGAAAGCGGCUCACUGGACCAUUACUGACGCUGAUGCACGAAAGCUAGGGGAGCAAACAGG
This 253-nucleotide ribosomal RNA is filed under the name uncultured bacterium. RNAcentral's name for it is "partial 16S ribosomal RNA". It matches the Rfam family "Bacterial small subunit ribosomal RNA", at positions 524 to 776 of the family's 1533-position model. The record is from RNAcentral.